This 1503-nucleotide ribosomal RNA is filed under the name Triticum aestivum (bread wheat). RNAcentral describes it as "partial small subunit ribosomal RNA". The record is from RNAcentral. Lineage: Eukaryota; Viridiplantae; Streptophyta; Magnoliopsida; Poales; Poaceae.
AUGUUAUCCAUCCUAGCAAUGGAACCACUGCAAUGGAUGUUCGCCAAGGCCACCGAGGAAGGAAUCCUUUCCCAGAUCAAGCAGAAGGAUAUUGGGAUUAGAACUAGCCUGUAUGCAGAUGACGCGACACUAUUCUUAAACCCAGUGAGACAUGAAGUGGUGGCCACUCAACGGAUUAUAAGAAGAUUCGGAGACAUUACUGGGCUAAUGAUUAAUCUGGAGAAGUGCGUAGCCUACAAGAUAAGAUGCAAUGAUACUGACCAUGCACAAACUUUGGUGGAUUUUGGGGGUUCGGAGGGUUCUCUGCCAUGCAAGUAUUUAGGCCUCCCACUUAGUACAAGGAAGCCGAGGCGGGCAGAGAUGCAACCAAUCCUUGACAAGGCCAGGGCGAGGAUCAAGCCAUGGAAAGGAAAGAUGGUGAAUAGGACUGGAAGACUAGCCUUGAUUAACUCGGUGCUCACUGCAAUCGCGACUUAUUACCUCACUUGCUUCGCUGCGGACAAGUGGGCUUCCAAAAAGCUGGACAUAUUCAGAAGAAGCUUUCUUUGGGCCGGAGAAGAGGAGGUUAGCAGAGGGAAAUACAUGGUCAAUUGGAAGCAAUGCUGCACCCCCAGAAAAUUUGGAGGCCUGGGCAUCAAGAACAUCGAGUUGUACAGCAGAUCGCUAAGGUUACGGUGGCUGUUGUAUGAGUGGGACUUGGUUGAGCUACCUUGGAAGGGAAAGCAGGUUCCCUGGGAUCGCACGGACAAAACACUUUUUACCGCUUGCACUUCAAUCACUCUUGGGAAUGGGAAAAUCUCCCGGUUCUGGCACAAUCGUUGGCUUGCGGGAGAAUCUCCAAGAGACAUCGCACCUGACAUUUUUAAGCUGGCCUGGAGGAAGAACUUGACGGUCUCUGAAGCCUUGACUGAGGGAACAUGGAUGCGAGGCGCUCAACGGAUAACUGCAGAAAAUCAAAUCCACCAAUUCAUUUUGUUGUUGGAGAAGGUUCAGACAGUACAUCUAAAUAAUAACAGAGUUGCGAUCUCUUGGAACCGUUCAUGCAACGGAUCAUACUCUGCCAGGUCAGCUUAUGAAGCACAGUUCAUUGGCCGCAUCGAACAACCACACCUGGCGAUGGUCUGGAGGACAAAAGUUGAGCCCAAAGUGCAGUUUUAUACAUGGCUGCUGCUGCAAAAUCGGAAUUGGACUACCGACAGGGUCGGCCGUCGUGGAUUUGUGACUAGGCUCCAGAAACAACGCUGCAUCUCCUACUCACUUGCCCCUAUGCUGAAGAGCUAUGGGUUGCUGCCCGGAGUCUCCACUCGCAAGUUGCUGAAAUUGCACUGGGUGCAACCUCCAUCCGCUCUUGGUGGCACAAAAUCAACACCAGUGUUCCCAAGGAUGCACGCCACGAGCAGAUCCGCUUUGCUGUGUACAUUGCCUGGAACAUUUGGAAGGAGCGGAACCGUCGCGUUUUCCAGGCGACAAAUGCGCAGGUCCCAACCAUUUUGCAGCUUGUGA